Molecule: non-coding RNA, 319 nt
Organism: Paramuricea clavata
Lineage: Eukaryota; Metazoa; Cnidaria; Anthozoa; Malacalcyonacea; Plexauridae
Source: the annotation of a GenBank genome assembly
AAAUCUUCGGGCGAGGAGCGAAGCUUGCGAGUAUUAACUUUAAAAAUGUUUUAUAAUGCAUCGAAAUAUUCAGGUUAUACUAAAAUUAGUUGGUCAAUUGAAAGGAUUAUAUAUCGCAAUGUCUCUCGCGGUCUAAAAACGACGUGCAAAUUUAAUUGAAUCGCUCGCUCGAAGCAGCCAAAUGUUUACAAUGUAUCAAUUGUUCAGCCGAGGAACUACAAUUUGAGGAAAUUAUCUGGCAUAAUUUCGAACGCAAAACGAAGAAUGGAACGAUACGAAAGGUAUAAUUUGUUUAAUAAAGGAAUUAUAUUAAAUUGUA